Papilio polytes (common Mormon) is the source of this 307-nucleotide long non-coding RNA. RefSeq lists it as uncharacterized. The transcript is spliced from 3 exons. The record is from RefSeq and is a predicted model, not a curated record. Lineage: Eukaryota; Metazoa; Arthropoda; Insecta; Lepidoptera; Papilionidae.
CCGCGGUCCGAGCGCAAACUUUUAUUGUCUGUUAUCCCGCGGAAACCAUUCAGUGCAGAAAUAUGAAGUUGUUUGUGGUCAUCGCUUUAUUCGCCUUUGUCGCUGUACAGUUGAGCAAUUCGGCGCCAACGCCAGAUGAUGACAAGAAAGAAGUGGCGGGACCCGUGGCCGUGCCCCAGCCCGCAGAGCCCGCGCCUCCCGCGCCUGAGGUGAAAUCAGCAGCACCGGAGCCUGCGCCCUCACCGAGCCCGGAGACGGCGGCGGCGGAGGAGAAGAAGCCCUAAGCUACACGCACACACGCGGACAA